Molecule: long non-coding RNA, 664 nt
Organism: Triticum urartu
Lineage: Eukaryota; Viridiplantae; Streptophyta; Magnoliopsida; Poales; Poaceae
Source: RefSeq, a predicted model, not a curated record
UCUAAACGCUCUUAUAUUAGUUUACAGAGGGAGUACUUUUCACAGGAAAAAUAACAUCUACUCGUACCAAAGGGAACGCCCGGUGAAAAUCCUCCUCUCGCUCCAUCACUCUCCAGCCCCAUACCGCGCCCUUCUCCCGUGAGCUUCGCGCGAAAUCGACAUGGAUGACCACCGGUGCAGCAUGCCCACCCGGCGGAUCCGAGCACCUACUCCUCCUCCUCCUCCUCCUCCACCUCAUCCGCCCCCUCCCUGUGUCCUUCGAGCUCCACCCCCCGUUCUAUCGACACAAGGGUUGGAAGAUCUGAAAUUUGGGUGAAGUGAGGAGAUCUUGCAAGAAAUAGGCACCAACAAAAAAUGUGCUAGAGCUAGAUGGAAUCACAAAAUGAAGUCAUAUCUUAUUUGGCUCUUGAAAGAACAUGAUGGCACAAGACCUCAUGGCCGGUAAGUGUUUCAUGCAUGUAUGUGGAUCCUGUGAGGAUGGAUGUAUGCAUUGGCAUUUUUGUGGAUGAGAUGCUACCUUCUAAUGUAGGAUGUAUGAGAAAAACGAAUUCAUCUUCAUUUUCUGAUCGCCUACGGUAGUUUGGAUUCAUCGCUUGAAUGAGAAAUGUGAUGUUGAAAUGAACUCAGCAGUGAAGAAUGGCUGUGGGAAUGGUUGGCUGUGCGA